Long non-coding RNA from Piliocolobus tephrosceles (Ugandan red Colobus), 986 nucleotides. RefSeq lists it as uncharacterized. The transcript has 4 exons. The record is from RefSeq and is a predicted model, not a curated record. Lineage: Eukaryota; Metazoa; Chordata; Mammalia; Primates; Cercopithecidae.
UAUUAACAUAUAUACAACAUAUAAUUAUAAUUGCAAAUAGAAUCAUUCAUAAUACAUAUAAUAAAAGUAAUCAUGCAUUAUAAUUAUUGCUUCACAAUUUAAGUUCAUAAUAUUGCAUUUGUCGUAUAGCUUUUCGUUAAAUUUGAAAAUAUAACUAAUCAUAAUGGCAGAAGGUGACCCAUUUGAUAACGAGUAUGAGAAUCAAAACUUAAGUACUCUACUUACAAAUACAUAUAAUAUGGAAAAUGGAAAUGAAACUGGAAUAUUAUUACAUAGAGUCUUGUGAAACGUUACUAUAUAGCCUAUUAAUUAUGGACAGUUGUUACCUCAUCAUGUGACUGUUUUUAUUCUGUUAACAUAUUUUAUAGUGUUAAUUAUAAUAAUAUUUAUAUGUAUAUGUCUAUACAGAAUGAUAAACAAUCAACCAAUUGAGGACGAUUUUCAAUUAAUGCCAAUGUUAUCUUUUGAAGAUGAAUCUCCAGAUGAGGAUAAUAAUUCUAGUUUUUUGGGAGAAAGUAGUGAAUAUGAAGAGACCAGACUAUGACAAGUUUAGAACCAAUAACCAUGUAUUAAAAGUAAUCAAUCUAUCAAUCAAUCAUUCAUUGAAUAAAAAUAUUAAAUAUAAAACGAUAUAAAGGAAAAAAACUUUAAGGUAUUACUAAGAUAGUAUGUUGAAAUUAAAAAUUGAGUAAAAAAUAUAAAAAUUAUAAUUUACAUAAAAAUGAUCAGAAUAUGAAGAUAGUAAUGAUGACAAUAGUAGAGAAUAAACAUGUAAGCAGUGUCAAGAUUGUCAAUAUCUAAAGUGACGAUAUUAACACUGUAUUUGUCAAAAAAAUGUUAUUAAAAAAUUACAACUUAAGAAAUAAAUAUAAUAUUACUAUAACGACAUAAAAUGGCAUAUUUUUGAAUAUGUAGUACUUAUUUAAAUAAAAAAGCAUAAGAAUAUAUAUAAUAGUACCAAUAUACAAUUACAAGCUUAAAUUAUA